UAAAUUUUUUCAUAUAAAAUGAAGAGAGAAUUUAUUUUUUAUAUAUCUCUCAAUUUUUUGUGAUAAAUAUGCAAUCAAAGUCCUUAAAAGAAGAAAGCCAGCUGGCUUAUAGCUAGUAUCUGAAUGAAAUUCUUACCGGCCAGAAUCUACAACAAAGAACUUGUACAAAUAUGUAAUGAAAACAUCUAAUUAAACAUAUCUCGAUCGAUAACUUCGUACAUGCACACCCUCGUUAAUUUCCGGUUUCCAAAAGCAAAAGGAGAAAACAAAAAGAGUCCGUAAUUAUGAUAAUGAAUUCAUCUGUAGGAUUUGAGAAUGCUCCCGCAGAAACUGCAUAUGAUAGCCUUCCAUGACUUCCAAUAUAAGGGGAUGUAGCAAAACCUAGUUGAGGUUUGCAUGUCGGCCACCGUUGCGCCGUGGCGGCACCGCGAACACGUCCCCGCUGCCGGCUUGCUCCGCCGUACGACGCUCUUCUGAUCCACCAGGAAACAGAAGCAAACCAUCAACUCUCUUCUUCUCUUAAUUAAGCUUUCCGAUCAGAAUAUAUAGCAUCACACAAGGGAGAUAUAUAUCGAUAGGGUUGUGAGCAUCAGCUUUGUGAAUACCAAAACACAAGCAUACUAAUAAUUUUAUCUCAAAUGAUGCAAUAGCCUAUAUAUAUAUAUAGAUAGAUAUUUGGCGUAUUGAUUCUAGUAUUAAUACAGUUCUAAACACCAUGAUGAGCGUAUGAUUUUUUUGAUUAGGACUGUGGUAGUCUGCCUAUUUAUUUGCCAUUUGGCUUAUAAAAGAAAC
This 792-nucleotide long non-coding RNA is filed under the name Salvia miltiorrhiza (redroot sage). RNAcentral describes it as "long non-coding RNA (SMIL_LNC014220)". The record is from RNAcentral. Lineage: Eukaryota; Viridiplantae; Streptophyta; Magnoliopsida; Lamiales; Lamiaceae.